RNAcentral lists this ribosomal RNA (327 nucleotides) under uncultured bacterium. RNAcentral's name for it is "bacterial SSU rRNA". It matches the Rfam family "Bacterial small subunit ribosomal RNA", at positions 28 to 334 of the family's 1533-position model. The record is from RNAcentral.
GACGAACGCUGGCGGCGUGCCUAACACAUGCAAGUCGAACGGAGAUUUUACUAAAUGCGACUUCGGUCAAAUGAAGUUUGAUCUUAGUGGCGGACGGGUGAGUAACGCGUGAGGAACCUGCCCUUCAGAGGGGGACAACAGUUGGAAACGACUGCUAAUACCGCAUAACGUGUGACUGGGACAUCCCAGACACACCAAAGGAGCAAUCCGCUGAAGGAUGGCCUCGCGUCUGAUCAGAUAGUUGGUGAGGUAACGGCUCACCAAGUCGACGAUCAGUAGCCGGACUGAGAGGGUGACCGGCCACAUUGGGACUGAGACACGGCCCAA